Molecule: ribosomal RNA, 231 nt
Filed under: uncultured bacterium
Lineage: Bacteria
Description: partial 16S ribosomal RNA
Rfam family: Bacterial small subunit ribosomal RNA
Source: RNAcentral
GAUCAUGGCUCAGGAUGAACGCUAGCUACAGGCUUAACACAUGCAAGUCGAGGGGAAACGACAUCGAAAGCUUGCUUUUGAUGGGCGUCGACCGGCGCACGGGUGAGUAACGCGUAUCCAACCUGCCCACCACUUGGGGAUAACCUUGCGAAAGUAAGACUAAUACCCAAUGAUAUCUCUAGAAGACAUCUGAAAGGGAUUAAAGAUUUAUCGGUGAUGGAUGGGAUGCGU